Molecule: ribosomal RNA, 667 nt
Filed under: uncultured Fusobacterium sp.
Lineage: Bacteria; Fusobacteriati; Fusobacteriota; Fusobacteriia; Fusobacteriales; Fusobacteriaceae
Description: bacterial SSU rRNA
Rfam family: Bacterial small subunit ribosomal RNA
Source: RNAcentral
UGAUGGAGGGCGGGGGAGGACGCGUAAAAAACUUGCCUCACAGCUAGGGACAACAUUAAAAAUGAAUGCUAAUACCUGAUAUUAUGGUUAUAGGGCAUCCUAUAAUUAUGAAAGCUAUAAGCACUGUGAGAGAGCUUUGCGUCCCAUUAGCUAGUUGGAGAGGUAACAGCUCACCAAGGCAAUGAUGGGUAGCCGGCCUGAGAGGGUGAACGGCCACAAGGGGACUGAGACACGGCCCUUACUCCUACGGGAGGCAGCAGUGGGGAAUAUUGGACAAUGGACCGAGAGUCUGAUCCAGCAAUUCUGUGUGCACGAUGAAGUUUUUCGGAAUGUAAAGUGCUUUCAGUUGGGAAGAAAAAAAUGACGGUACCAACAGAAGAAGUGACGGCUAAAUACGUGCCAGCAGCCGCGGUAAUACGUAUGUCACGAGCGUUAUCCGGAUUUAUUGGGCGUAAAGCGCGUCUAGGUGGUUAUGUAAGUCUGAUGUGAAAAUGCAGGGCUCAACUCUGUAUUGCGUUGGAAACUGUAUAACUAGAGUACUGGAGAGGUAAGCGGAACUACAAGUGUAGAGGUGAAAUUCGUAGAUAUUUGUAGGAAUGCCGAUGGGGAAGCCAGCUUACUGGACAGAUACUGACGCUAAAGCGCGAAAGCGUGGGUAGCAGACAGG